This is a long non-coding RNA of Quercus robur (English oak), 1070 nucleotides long. RefSeq lists it as uncharacterized. Lineage: Eukaryota; Viridiplantae; Streptophyta; Magnoliopsida; Fagales; Fagaceae. The transcript has 4 exons. The record is from RefSeq and is a predicted model, not a curated record.
CUCUUCCCCACAUUUCUUAUUUAAAUCCCUCUCUCUCCCUGAUAUUUUUUCCUCUCUCUUCACUUUCAUCACAUUCUCUCUCUCUCUCUCUUUCUUUCUCUCUCAACUUUUCUCAGCUUUCUCACAGUUUCUCUUUUAGGAUCCGUUUGGCUGCCGAGAAACCGUCGGAAUAUGACAGCAUAUAAAACAGGUUGCUGGCCCUAGCUUAGCUGUUUCAUACUGAUUGGAAGAGAAGCGGAGUGUGUUGGAAAGGAAAGCAGAUAUGUAUAUAUCUUCAGCAAUCAGUUUAAAUUUGGUCCACCAAGCUAUAGUUUGGACCCUGACAUUUUGAACGAGUGGCCAAUGAUGACCAAUAAUGCUGUGUUGUUUUAAAUAAACCAGCACUGAUCACUGUUGGAAUUAAAGCUCUGGAUUCUCUUGUGAUUUUUGGAUUGCACUAACAUUGAACUUCUGCCAGGUAAAUGGAAUAUGAUGUUAAAAACUGGUCCAUGCUUGUUUAUUAUGCCAGUAAUUAUUAUUGAAUAUUACCAACUUUAAUGUUAACGACUCUAGGGGUUUUUACUUCCUGAUAGCUUAAUGAUUUUUUAGGGGGCUAAGUAGUUUAGUCAGGUUCUAGAGCUGCAUUUGUAUCAUUAGACAGAGCAGUGUUGCAUAUUCUCAAGUAUCUGUACCUUUUAACCCAAUGUAAUUCAAGUUUUCUUCCAUGGAGCCAAAGUUUGUUCUGAUUAUCCCAGCCUCUAUGUGCAUAUUGUUUUAUCACUAUUAUUUUGAAUUGCAGUAUUCUCUGUCUGUUAAUGAAAAGAAGACCAUAUCUCUAUAAUUUAAUGAUCUUGGUGCGCUAUAACCUUCUUUAUUGCAGUAGAGAUCAUGCAAUCACUUUUUCUAAUUGUUUGUUUAAAAUUUUCCAAGGGAACAAGAAGGUAGGUGCUACAUUACCUCAUUUUUGAACUUCUUAAUUGAGUUGAAAUAUGCAGUUUUGUUUCAAGAGUAUUUUGUUUGAGAAACUUAUAUAGUUACGCUUACUUGUCUCGAAGUUACAUUCUUACUUUGGUACCUGCUAGUAUUGGUUC